UGGGGAAUAUUGGACAAUGGGCGAAAGCCUGAUCCAGCCAUGCCGCGUGUGUGAAGAAGGCCUUUUGGUUGUAAAGCACUUUAAGCGAGGAGGAGGCUACUUAGAUUAAUACUCUAGGAUAGUGGACGUUACUCGCAGAAUAAGCACCGGCUAACUCUGUGCCAGCAGCCGAGGUAAUACAGAGGGUGCGAGCGUUAAUCGGAUUUACUGGGCGUAAAGCGUGCGUAGGCGGCUUUUUAAGUCGGAUGUGAAAUCCCUGAGCUUAACUUAGGAAUUGCAUUGGAUACUGGGAAGCUAGAGUAUGGGAGAGGAUGGUAGAAUUCCAGGUGAAGCGGUGAAAUGCGUAGAGAUCUGGAGGAAUACCGAUGGCGAAGGCAGCCAUCUGGCCUAAUACUGACGCUGAGGUACGAAAGCAUGGGGAGCAAACAGG
Molecule: ribosomal RNA, 430 nt
Filed under: bacterium
Lineage: Bacteria
Description: partial 16S ribosomal RNA
Rfam family: Bacterial small subunit ribosomal RNA
Source: RNAcentral